Bos grunniens (domestic yak) is the source of this 3408-nucleotide long non-coding RNA. NCBI's taxonomy places the organism in Eukaryota, Metazoa, Chordata, Mammalia, Artiodactyla, Bovidae. The record is from Ensembl.
ACAACAUCCAGGCUCUAUUUACAGUCGCCGCCGGACGGCAAGGGACCCACGCCAGCUGCCUGGAAGCAGGCGGGGGUGGGGGAAAAGCGAGUGCGCAACAUUUACACACACCCGCCCCGCCCCUCCGCGCCACUGCCCCGCCAGGGGGCCGGAGCGGGACACCGGGGGUCUCCCCGCGCCCUCGUUCAACCUGCGCCGGUCUUGACACCCCAGCAAGAGCCAGAGGUGUACUGCUUUAACAAGCUAACCAGAGAGACUUCAGGAGAAGUCAAAGGGAUCCUGCUUGUUGAACUGUGUUUUAGAUUUAAAGCACCAGUUGAGUACUUUAAAGUGUGUGUAUGUGUGUGUGCUGGGAAAUUUGGGGUUUUCACUUUGAAGUACAAAAGUAAUGCCAACUUGAGGCAACAAAUCAAACAGUACCACUGUGUAAAAGAGUCAACAAUAUCCCCUUCUGCUGAAUCUGCCUUUCCCCCACCUCCCAUCAUAACAAAUAUGAACAUUUUGGUACAUAUCUCUUCAUAUCCUUAUCUAUGCAUAUUAUACACACACACUUAUCUGUAUACAAGUAGUUGAAAAAGUGUUAGUCGCUCAGUUGUGUCUGAGUCUUUUCGACCCUAUGGACUGUAGCCCAUGGAAUUCUCCAGGCAAGACUACUGGGGUGAGUAGUUAGUCCCAGCCCAGGGAUCAAACUUGGGUCUCCUGCAUUGCAGGCAGAUUCUGUACUGUCUGAGCCACCAGGGAAUCUUAUGUAUGUAUGUAUGUCUAUAUAUAAAUAUAUAUCCACAUAUUUAGGGAUUUUUGUCAUAUUCUUUCAAAAUGGGACUUAUAAACUCAUAAAAAUCACUUGUUUAUUCUUACCUCUAUUUCAUUCAAACCCCUCCAGGAAAUACAUAUAGACUUAAUGUUAUUUUUAUACAUAAUAUCCAUAGUUUGGAUAAACCAUAUUUUAUUUAUAUAUUCUCCUAUAAUAAAUGCCCAAGUGGUUUCUAGUGUUUUUGUCUUGUGCCACUUCAAAUAACAUUUUGUGUAAAAUAUUCAUAUAUCUAUCUUCUUACUUAUUCAUACUUUAAGUAGAAGAGACUUUGAAUUUCUGGGUUCACCUGAGGAUUUUAGAUAUUACUAGACAGAAGGAUUCAGUGCCUAGCAAAACACAUAGCCCUUUGGCGACAGCUUUUUCCUCUUUGUUGGGAAAGAAGCCUGGAAAAAUAAUGUCCCUUUCUCUUCCUUCCCCACACCAUUAUUCUCCUGCAGUAGAAUGGGCAGGGAUAAUAUGUCCUUUGUAAUUCAGCAAGGAAUAAGAAUUACCCAUUUGCAGGGCUAUUAGAGGAUACAAGAGAAGCCCAAAUUAAACAACCGCAUAUUCCUCCAGUAAGUCUUUUGUUCCUUUUUUCUCCUUCAUGAAAAGGCAGAGCAUAUGAAAGAGGAGGCAGGGAAAGAUUGUGCAUUUCUGGGCUUUAAUAGGCAAAUAGUUAAAUGAUGGCACCUGCAAAACCAUUGGCUUAUUCCUCGUUCAGGGUCUGAAUAUGUCUUUCUUCUCUUUGCAGACCAGAGGAGAGAGGGAGUGAGAUGAAUGAGAUGAAUCACAAUCAAAGUCCUCUUUCACUAUUAUUUUUGAAUUUUCUCAUCUCAGACACAUCAGAGCUCAAGGUUGGAAGGGGCUUUAGGUCAUCUGCUCUGUUCUUCCCAUUGUAUGUGGGCUCAUCUUUUCCUAGUUUCUGCAUUUCUCCUUAACACAAUUGUGUUAUUUCUUUCUUCCUCCCUUGGCCCUUCAACAGUAUACUUACUGAAAGCUUCCUGUGGGCUAGACCCCAAGCUAGGCUCUGGGGACAAAGAGGAAAGACACUGACCCUGGCUUCAAAGAGCUCACAAAUAAGGAGAAGAAAAACCAGUAGGCUUAAAACUGUAAAGGAAUGACAGAGAUAGGUGCAAGUAGGGCAACACAGAACACAGAGGAGAAGCACUUAGCAUAGCUGUAAUAGCUCGGAAAAUGGGCAGUGACAAGAGGUUGGUAAGCUUAAGUUUAUGGAAUAGAAGUUUGCCAGUGUAAGCAGAUAGGAAUGACAUUCUUGACGUAAGAGAAUAAAUUUUGACCUAAGAUAUUUGGUGAUCUAAGCCUAACCUUAAUGCUUACUCUUGAACAGGUCUCAGUAAUCAAAGAUCUUAAGGGAACAAAGGCAUGCAGGAACAGAGAAAAGGCAGUCAAACAAUGCAAUGAUAAAGCAGAGUCCUGGAAACUGCCUGGCAGUCUAGUGGUUAAGACUCUGUGCUUUCAAUGCAGGGGUUGUGUGUUCAAUCCCUGAUGAGGGAAUUAAGAUCCCACAUGUGGCAUGGCCAAAAAAAGAAAAAGCAGAGUCCUAGUUUCUCCUUAAGGAAGGGCUAUACAUAAUAAUAUAUCUUUGAGUUCUGCAGGAACUAAGACCCCCACCCAGAUGGAGGAGGAAAUGAUGACGUUGACUCUCUUAACUUCAAUCAACUAAAGACUUGGACUUUGUGGACGUUUGCCCCAGUUCUAUGCUGACCUUUCCUCUGCUCAAGUCCCUUAAUAUGCAUGUACCUUUAGCUUAAAACUUCCCCAGUUCUGCUGUGUGGGGAGACACUCCUUUGGGAAAGAUCCCUGGUGUUCACCUUACUUGCUGUAAGUAAUAAUAAAUUCUUCCUUGUAAUAAUAAAGCCUUCCCUGGUGGUCCGGUGGUUAAGAAUCUGCCUGCCAACGCAGGGGACAUGGGUUUGAUUCCUGGUCUGGGGAGAUUGCACAUGCUGUGGAGCAACUAAAGCCUGUGCACCACAACUACUGGGCUUACACUCUAAAGCCCACGCUCCGCAGAAAGAGAAGUCACAGCAAUGAGAAGCCCUCACACCAGAAUUAGAGAGUAGCCCCUGUUCCCCCAAACUAGAGAAAGCCUGAGUGUGGCAACAAAGACACAGGAAAGCCAAAAAUAAAUUUAAAAAUAUAAACAGAUAAAUCUUUGAGGGAAAAAUUCCUUCCUUUUCUGGAUAUUUGGCUUGGUUGUUUCCAUUGGCUUGACACCCACCAAGAGGCCAACCCAGUUUCCGGGUUCAAGAAAAGAAAGAUAUACAUCUCACCCAUCUCAGUUUACUUUGGUGCUUUACAAUGGGAUGUGAAAAUAUCCAAGCAAAGGGGCAGUUUAAAAUAUCGGUGAAGGUGACUCUACCUACUGGGUAUCACUUCCUUUUCAAAUCAGAUGAUUUCUAAUAUUGGUUUUCAGCAAAACUGAAGGAGAACCUAAUCAAGUUGAUAGUCAAUAGGUCAUUAACAUUUUUUGAUGAAAUGUAACUAUGUGAUUCUUGAUAUGAAACCAAGCAGGACCCUGUGGGGUUCUCCUGGGUACAAAUAUUUUCCAUGGCCCCCAUUUCUUGUUUGUAGGAAAGAGGCUUCAUUCAGACUCC